RNAcentral lists this ribosomal RNA (141 nucleotides) under uncultured Clostridiaceae bacterium. RNAcentral's name for it is "partial 16S ribosomal RNA". It matches the Rfam family "Bacterial small subunit ribosomal RNA", at positions 346 to 504 of the family's 1533-position model. Lineage: Bacteria; Bacillati; Bacillota; Clostridia; Eubacteriales; Clostridiaceae. The record is from RNAcentral.
AGGCAGCAGUCGGGAAUAUUGCACAAUGGAGGGAACUCUGAUGCAGUGACGCCGCGUAUAGGAAGAAGGUUUUCGGAUUGUAAACUAUUGUCAUGUGGGAAGAAAAUGACGGUACCACAAGAGGAAGCCCCGGCUAAAUAU